RNAcentral lists this long non-coding RNA (279 nucleotides) under Setaria italica (foxtail millet). RNAcentral describes it as "long non-coding RNA (SITA_LNC004352)". Lineage: Eukaryota; Viridiplantae; Streptophyta; Magnoliopsida; Poales; Poaceae. The record is from RNAcentral.
GAACGCUAGCCAGACCUUCUUGGGGAUCUCACUCGGGUCGACCGUCCACGCCCAGAGCUCGAUGUGCCUGGAAUCCGCCGGCUGGACGAGGUCGGUGACGAUGUGCUGCAGUGCACAUUUGUGGCCGAUGACGCGCUCGACGAUCUCCGGCGUCCAGGCGUGGCGCGGGAUGCCGUCGAGGCAGAGUCGCACCCGGUAGAAGAUGCGGAAGCCGAGGGCGUGGGUGAGGCUGCGCCAUGGCCGGAGGCAGAUGUCAAGUCCCCCGCCGGUGAAGCGUCC